Tachysurus fulvidraco (yellow catfish) is the source of this 1298-nucleotide long non-coding RNA. RefSeq lists it as uncharacterized. The transcript has 2 exons. The record is from RefSeq and is a predicted model, not a curated record. NCBI's taxonomy places the organism in Eukaryota, Metazoa, Chordata, Actinopteri, Siluriformes, Bagridae.
GUCGUUCUGCAGCCAUCUAGCGGUGCAAUAUCGAGCUUUACAUACCGGAUGCCACACACUCACUCACUCACACACACACACACACACACUCACAUUUUUUAUAUCCUAUUUUAGGAGUGCAACUAACACACACACACACACACACACACACACACACACACACACACACACACACACACACACACACACACACACACACACACACACACACACACACACACACACACACACACACACACACACACACGUGACACUCCGUGAUGACGUCAGCAUCCACGAAGGGCGAACGGGAUUUCUUUACACUCCACCAGUUGCUAUAGCGACGGAUGGUUCUAAGGUUUAUGAAAGAACUGUGUUUUUAAACCCGACCGGAUUUGCGGGUGUCGGUAAUAAACACUUCGGCUCUUUAGGCACAGAAACGGCGUUAAAAAAAACUCUCGCCUCUGAUAGGCUCCUAUCCACGUGUUGGUUAUCUCCCAUAAUGCAACGCGAACAGCUCUAGAUUUAUUUUUAUUAAAGAUUUCAUGAAGCAUUCCGUUACUGUCGUGUCUACUUUGUGUAUGUCUUGUUUGUAGUUAUUACAGAAGUGAUUACAUUUUGAUUUGGUGUUUAUUUAGUGUUUACCGUCAGCGGGUGUCUUAAUCGUUAUCACUCCGUUCUUGGUGUCGCGGCUGGUUGUGUUAGCUUUGCGCAGUGGCAGUAUCGUAGCCUAUGAGGUUUAUCCGAGGCGCGAUUAUUGCUAGUUGAAAACUUUACCCAAUACCCCGCCUUGACGACUUGAAAUAUAGUCGGCGAUGGCAAUUUUUGACGGUCUCUACGGAGACUGAUCUCUUGGUGAAAAAUCAGAUGUGAUCUCUGCUGGUGCAAACAACCUCGCGUACCUCCUUUCUUCAGUAAAGCUGAAUGAGUCACAUGAAGGGCAUGCUGCAUAUUGUCCAGAAUAAAUGUGACAUUAUUGAGUGCCUGUUCCACCAUCACCUCAAAACCAUCCAGAGAGGGGCCCAAGACAUAUCCUGCCUUCUUGAUAAGUUUGUUGAGAUCUUUUGCAUCUCCAGUACUGAUACCAUCUCCCCAGCAUAUUGUUGCAAACAAGACUGUGCGGACAGGACGUGGGUUUCCCGAGAAAGUUGAGUUGACCUUCCAGUGCAGCUUGUUGUUGAGAUGGACACCAAGGUAUAGAUAACAACCAGCUCAGUGUCCUGACUCAUGAAAGUAAUGCAUUAUGUGGGAGUAUUGUUUUUGUAAAUGCUUGAGAAUCUGAUCAGAAAUGUAUUCCUUAAAUAAAUCUCAUUACCUUU